Cucumis melo (muskmelon) is the source of this 74-nucleotide non-coding RNA. The record is from Rfam. Lineage: Eukaryota; Viridiplantae; Streptophyta; Magnoliopsida; Cucurbitales; Cucurbitaceae.
GGGCUUAUAGUUUAAUCGGUUGAAACGUACUACUCAUAAUGGUGAUAUUAUAGGUUCGAGGCCUACUAAGCCUA